This 374-nucleotide ribosomal RNA is filed under the name uncultured organism. RNAcentral describes it as "bacterial SSU rRNA". It matches the Rfam family "Bacterial small subunit ribosomal RNA", at positions 526 to 896 of the family's 1533-position model. The record is from RNAcentral.
CGUAGGGGGCGAGCGUUGUCCGGAAUUAUUGGGCGUAAAGAGCUCGUAGGCGGUUGGGCAAGUCACGUGUGAAAUCUCCACGCUCAACGUGGAGGCGUCACGUGAGACUGCCCUGACUCGAGUCCGGUAGGGGAGCGUGGAAUUCCCGGUGUAGCGGUGAAAUGCGCAGAGAUCGGGAGGAACACCCGUAGCGAAGGCGGCGCUCUGGGCCGGUACUGACGCUGAGGAGCGAAAGCGUGGGGAGCAAACAGGAUUAGAUACCCUGGUAGUCCACGCCGUAAACGUUGGGCACUAGGUGUGGGGCUCUAUCGACGGGCUCCGUGCCGUAGCUAACGCAUUAAGUGCCCCGCCUGGGGAGUACGGCCGCAAGGCUA